ACAAAAAGGCAACAGUGGUAGCAGAAAGACAGGCAGGUGGGCAGGCGCAGAGGAACAGCUUUUCUAAUGUCUGGCUGAGAGACUAACGGAGGCAAGAGAAACUCAAAUUGGAAAUUUUGUGGAUUAUUCCUGCAACAAAAGGAAUGACUGGACUCUGGGUCAUGAUUCACCGCUGAAUGGAGAAGUUUCAACCUUCGUUUUAGGGUUUUUAUUAAGGAAACGACACCAUUUGAUCUCACUUUGCUCUUAAAUAUGACUUUUUAUUUUGAUCGUCUUUAAAAAAAAAAAAACAGAAAGAGAAACACAUCUGUAUCUGUUGGUGGGAUUCCAGCCUGUCAGCUAUUUUGGUUCCUGUCUUGCUUUCACUGUUUUGUGAAAGGAGAUGUAAGAAGGAAGAGAGAGAGAGAGAGAGAGAGAGAUAGAGAGAGAGAGAAGCGACACAGAAAGAGGACGGUCAGAGAGACGUCUAAACAGCGGGCGUCUCCGAGAGAGUCAGAAGGGUUCAGAGGACGCUGAGAAGAGUACACGUGACUCUCUCCCUGGUCCCAGAAGAAGAGAAAAGGCAUCAUGGUUCGGUGGUUCCACAGAGACAUCACAGGCCUGCAGGCCGAGGAGAUGCUGAAGACUCGGGGGAUUCACGGCAGCUUUCUGGCUCGACCCAGCAAGAAAAUUGCCGGAGAUUUCUCCCUUUCU
Notothenia coriiceps (black rockcod) is the source of this 693-nucleotide long non-coding RNA. RefSeq lists it as uncharacterized. The transcript has 3 exons. The record is from RefSeq and is a predicted model, not a curated record. Lineage: Eukaryota; Metazoa; Chordata; Actinopteri; Perciformes; Nototheniidae.